UUAUUUUUAAUCAUUUUCUAAUAAAAUUUUAAAUCUGUUCUUAUCAGUUUAAUAUCUGAUGUCCUUUAUUUGAGGACUGUAUAUUAAAUUGAUUUUUGAAACAGGGGGCUGGAAUAGGAGCUUGCUCUGUCCAUCCUAUGCAUUGACCUGGCAUUGCAGUGCCUCCAGGACUGGUGCCUCUCCU
This is a small nuclear RNA of Chelonoidis abingdonii (Abingdon island giant tortoise), 184 nucleotides long. RefSeq annotates it as U2 spliceosomal RNA. The record is from RefSeq and is a predicted model, not a curated record. NCBI's taxonomy places the organism in Eukaryota, Metazoa, Chordata, Testudines, Testudinidae.